CGGCGCCCCCCAGCAACAGCAGGGUGGUGCCAUAUUGGUCCUGAGCCAGGCCUAGCCACCGGUGACGGCGGGACUCUCUGGGAGGCCGGCGGUCCUCGGGUGUAGAGGGAGACAGCUGCCCGGGGGCACGGGCGAGCACCUCUGGGGGUCCCGGAUCCUAGACCCGCGGCCCCGGGGUGGCGGUGACGCCUGGAGUCGUGCGGGCUUGGCUGGGCCGGGCUCUUGGGGCAGCCAGGUGCCGCUGCUGGCGUCUAGGCCACACCACCCUGAACGCGCCGGCUCGCCUCUGAUCUGUUGAAGCUAAGCAGGGUCGGGACUGUUUAGUACUUGGAUGGGAUUCCGCCUGGUAAUAGCGGUACCGUAGGCUUUUGGCUUCCCGCUCCCUCCCUCUUUCCUCCUUUUGUCUCCGUGCUUCCCAACUGCCCCCCGCCUCUGCUCCCGGUUGACCGCCCCCGCGCCCCAGCAGAAGCCCAGGUCCUCCUCCUGAAGAUCCGCCACUGCAGCACCGCCAGGCAGCAGCAUCCCACCUCUUCCGACUCGCGGCAGCCCCACCCAACCCGGGCGGGACGGGACCAACCCCGAGGGUGCAGGCGCGGGUUCCCUGAGGUCCCGGGUGUCUUCACGCUCCCCGGACUCCCAGGCAAUUGUAUUCAUUCAUUCAGCGUCACUGCAACCGUCCAAGCCGGUGGAAGGGGCGAGCAGGGGCAGCGGGUGCCACAGACCCCAGCCAAGACCUCCGCUCCAGAACCCGAGGGCUGCUUUCCCCAGAGGAAGGACAUUUUCUUCGCCAGCCACGAGGAAAACCGUCCCUGUGCACCCUGUUUCCCAAUGCCACCGACUUCGUGUAAACUCCAGUCCGGAGGACAGGAGAGAGACCCAGGCCUCGCCCCGUGGACAGGCUCGGCGCCACGGCUCCCGCCAGACACAGGAGCACACUCUACAAAUCUCGGGGCCCAUCGCAUCAAGGAGACAGAAAGAAGCAAACGAAGGACCUUAUGAAACACACCCCCAAAGCAACCAACCAAUCCAAGAAAAAAAAACACGUCUCAGGGCUCCAUUGGUUUUCCUGGCUGGGGGGCCCUGACCCCCUGUUCUAGCCCGGCCCAAGAACCCUGCACCCCACCCCGGCCUGCUGAAAGGUGCCCUGUCUACCUGAGCAGAGCCUCCCUCUCCAAGGCUCUGUCGCUGUCGCUCCACAACUCCCUCACCCUCUCCCUUUCUCUACUUCCCCCUCCACCUCGUGCUCUACUGUGGUGCUCUCUCUUCCCCCCUCUCUCUCUCCUCCCCCCUUUUCUAUCUCUCUCUCUCUCUCUAUCGCUGUCUCUCUCUCUCCCUCUGGUUCUAUUUCUCCAUCCCUCUCUCCUUUGCUUUCCUUCUGUAGCAGGAGGAGCUGCAGACAAAACCCCUCAGACACCGAGUUGUAGAAGGAAGGGCUUUAUUCAGCUGGGAGCAUCAGCAGACUCACGUCUCCAAAAACUGAGCUCUCCUAGUGAGCAAUUCCUGUCCCUCUUAAGGGCUUACAACUCUAAGGGGGUCCGCGUGAGAGGGUCGUGAUGGAUUGAGGAAGCAGAGGGUACGUGACUGGGGGCUGCAUGCACAGACAACGAGAGCGAAACCACAGAGAAAAGAAACAUCCCGUGCAUCACGGCCUGACAAUGGAUUCCUGUUUCCUGUACAAUGUGGAGUCUCCAAUAUAGCCUGUUUGAAAACUGGAAAGGAGAGCACCGACACGAUGCUGGUCUUCCACGCAUUCCUGGAAGUUUCUGGGGCCCCACAGAGCUCGCGAAACAAACAGUCAACAUGGUCACGCUUUCGGGGGGCAGAAACUUGAGCAACAGGCACCUUUACAGAGGGCAAAGAAACGUGGAAUCCAGAAUCACGCUUCAGUUGGCCUGGGUGUGACUCCUGUGUGGAUGGGACUAUCUGCCUCGAGCUCUGUUGCAGGGCUCAACGUGGGGAUAUGUCAUCUGUGAACCAUGUGGAUGAAAAACAGACAACUACCUGAGUCUCGGCUCAUUGCUCUCUGGGGAAUUCGCUCAUUCCUUCGGAAACGGAAUUGGUCUGAAUUGCUCCGGGAUGAAGUAACCCAGGCUGGUGAUCCAGAGGGCCGCUGAGCGCCCCGCCGGCCAACGGGGCUGUGGGCCCAGCACUCAGCCUGUACUGGGCACCCAACAUAUUCCCGGAGUUCUGGGUCCUGUUGGUUCUGGAGGCAUAAGACAUUUUUUGUCUCUGCCUUCUGUUCUCUGUUUCUUGCUCCUUUUGUCUCUCCGUCCAUCCUUCCAUCUGUUCUACCCUCCCUCCCCUGGCUUUUUCCUCCCUUUCUCCCUCCCUCCCUCUUUCUCUCCCUUCCGGGGUCCCUCCUUCCACCCAUCCUUGCCUAGCUCCAUCCUUCCAUCUCACUCUGUCUCUGUUCCUGUCCUCAUCUCUGCCUGCCUUCCCUCUUGCCUGGAAAGGGCAGCACCCUGGUUUGCGCGAGGUCUCGGGUCUUUAUUUAGUUGUAAGGCGCUCUAUGGUGCUGGCGAGGAGGCUGGCGGGACACGGGUUGGCAAGUGAUGGUGAGCGAAGAGGCGGAGGAGUUGAGCCACAGAAAGGAGAACUGGCCUGGAUUCUGCCCCGGCCCAGUGUUUCGCGGACUGAGGUCUCCGCCAACCCGAUUGAAGAACGCGGGGGGGAAAGGGAGGAGAGCUCCGCCUGGGCUAGUUAGAAGACUAGGCUGCUGCCUGGAAACCCGCGCAUGCGCAGUAGACAGCCCACCUCCCUGUACCUGGACCGGCCCUGGGAUCCCCGGGAUGCUCAGGAAUGCUUUCUUUUCAUUGUUGACAGCCCUACUCUGUGUGGAGUCUCUCGCUGGACCUGGAACUCAGGGAUCCUAGGGAGGUCAGCUGGAAGGGAAGACACGCCUCUCCAUACCAAGCCUGAGGUUCACUGCAAAAGAGAGGCCGCCGCCCUGCCCCCACCCUGCCCCCACCCUGCCCCAAACCCGCCCCAACCUGCUCCUCCAGCAGAGCCCUGUGUUCUUCCUGUCUGAGGAGUGGUUCCAGCAAAGCGGGCUCUUCCACGUCCUUCAGCUCCCCCAGUGGCGCCGGAUCUAGGAAAGGUUGUGCCUUUUGCUGAAACUCUGGGGUUGACAGGAGCUCAUCUAACAGGCUGGAGGUGAGUGCAGACGAGAGCCCCGGCUCCUGGAGCGGUUGGGAGGUGCCCGGUUGGCUGGCAUCUGCGCUUGACGCGGAGGCCUCCGGGGUCACGAGCUCGGGAGGUGAAGGUGCCCCGUCUUCGGGUUCCCAUGCCGCCCUGGCGACCUGGGGCUCCAGCCCCACCACGGACUCCGGUGGGACGUGGGUGGUGCAAGCACACCUUUCCCCUGUGACUCAGCUUGAGGGGCCCCAAGCUGUCCCACUGAGCACGCGCCCAGCAGGCCGUCGCGCUGUGGGUUCUGGUCUUCCUGUCAUUUGUUGGGGUUCGGAGGCCACCAGGGAGUCUGAGGAUGGGAGAGCCCCAGUUUCGGAGGGAGGGGCCAGGACAGUGAACACAAAGCCCCGCAUGCUCGGGCAGGUUGGGAGAGUCCUUCUGCCUGUGCAGCCUGGCUGGGCUGGAGCAGGGGGAUGACCCUUGCUUCCUGGCUCACGAAAGCCCCCUGUGGGAGAGCCCCAGGAGCGCAGGGCAUGUGGGGUGCAGGAAGCGACGUUCCCCACGCCCCGGUGUAGGUGAACCCGAUAGAGGAGGGAGGAGGGUGACACCCACCAGGGGUGCUAAUUAGUAACCACAGUGGCCUCAAAGAACUCAAAUGAAAGGAAGACUUGCAAGUCUCUCACUUUAAGUCCAGAGCUAGAAAUGAUUAAGCUUAGUGAAGAUGUAGAAUUUUCAUAGCUAGAGAGAAGUCAACACUUGGCUUCAGAACUUCAAAGGAUGGGCUGACUCUCUUUGAGGACCACUGCAGCUGGUGACUUUAGGUUACAGCCAGUGCUCAUUGACCACUCUGAAAAUCUCAGGGCCCUUAAGAAUUAUGCAAAAUCUAUUCUUUCUGUGCUCUAGAAAUGGAACAUCACUGUCUGGGUGACAGCACAUCUGUUAAUAGCAUGGUUUACUGAAUAUUUUAAUCCCACUAUUGAGACCUACUGCUCAGAAAAAAAAAAAAAACGAUUCUUUUAAAAAGAUUGUUGGUUGGCCAGGCAUAGUGGCUCAUACUUGUAAUCCCUGCACUUUGGGAGGCUGAGGAUCACCUGAGGUCAGGAGUUCAAGACCAGCCUGGCCAAAAUGAUGAAACCCCAUCUCUAAAAAAAAAAAAAAA
Molecule: long non-coding RNA, 4288 nt
Filed under: Homo sapiens (human)
Lineage: Eukaryota; Metazoa; Chordata; Mammalia; Primates; Hominidae
Source: RNAcentral